CACUCACAUGUCAUGGUGAGUUAAGCAUUGCAUCAUCCACUAAAAAAUCUGGUGGAAGUAAAACAAAGGGAAGGCCAUGGCAUUGAUGAAUUUUAUGGGGUAUGCAUGGUUUUGAGUGAAGUUUUGGCCAAUCCUUCUAGAAAUUUAUCCCUUCUUGCAACUUGUAUUUGUUUCACCAGAUUUUUAGCAUGUUCCUAGCCUCUUUUUUUCUUCAAAUUCGUCCAUCCAUCUUGCUCAUAUCAUAAGUAAUCCAUUCCAAGCUCAAAACUGCUCCAAAAUGCACCAAAAUGCACUUUCUUGCUACCUUAACCCUUUGGACCUACAAACACACGAAAAUGGCUUAAAGUACUAAAAUAACUAAGAACUAAUAACGUAAAUGCAAGAAAACUAGUUAACUAAGUCGCAUAAAUAUGCGUCUCUCAGCACCGCCCUUCGAAUCUCGAGAGCCAGACUCCCAACAGGAUUACUUUCUCAAAAAAUCGAAGAGACACUGCUCUCUGAAUCUCAAGAGUCAGACUCCCAACAGGAUUGCUUUCUUAAAAAUUGAAGAGGCACUAUUCUCUGAAUCUCGAGAGCCAGAUCCCCGAUAGGAUUGCUUGUUCGAAAACCGAAGAGGCACCGCUAUCUGAACUUCGAGACCCAGAUUUCCUUGGAUAAAGCUUGUCUGCAAUCUUCACACGCAACGUCAGCUUUCCAAGAAGGGUAAAGGAAAACACGCGAAGCUUGCAGCUCCCACUACAUUGCUAUAACCAAGAAGGGUAAAGGAAUAGCACUACUACUUGUUGUUAGGGAGACUUCUAUAUAUGUCG
Molecule: long non-coding RNA, 809 nt
Filed under: Malus domestica (apple)
Lineage: Eukaryota; Viridiplantae; Streptophyta; Magnoliopsida; Rosales; Rosaceae
Description: long non-coding RNA (MDOM_LNC018057)
Source: RNAcentral